AGGAAGCGCAGCCAUGAAGCUACAUGUGCCUAUGUGGAGACAUAUCAUGGAUUUUCCUAUGAGUUUACUGGCCUGAUUUUCUUAACUCCACCCUGCUGAGAAGAUGCCCUCCAGGAGGCUGUGCUUGCAGACUCCACGGAGCCUCUCUCAAGAUUUCCUGAACCUUGUGGAUUUACAGUAAGACGAAGUUCCCUGGGGAGUAAUUCUGGUGGAUGCAAAUUCUGGAGUAAUACACCUGGCCUGCCUAGAGAUGUUACAAGUGGCCUAAUGGAUUUUUCUAGCCUGGACGCCCACUGGGGACAAGGAUCAUUACUGACAGGAUUGUAUCUCUACCCUUGACUCCAUGGGAAUAUUUGGUCUGCUCUCUCGGGCUCCCUCUAAAAU
Molecule: long non-coding RNA, 384 nt
Filed under: Rattus norvegicus (Norway rat)
Lineage: Eukaryota; Metazoa; Chordata; Mammalia; Rodentia; Muridae
Description: long non-coding RNA NONRATT025986
Rfam family: Pvt1 oncogene conserved region 3 (bases 107-200)
Source: RNAcentral